Long non-coding RNA from Ictalurus punctatus (channel catfish), 256 nucleotides. The record is from Ensembl. Lineage: Eukaryota; Metazoa; Chordata; Actinopteri; Siluriformes; Ictaluridae.
ACAGGGGCAUUUAGAGCAGAACAGGUCUUAUACAGGGGCAUUUAGAGCAGAACAGGUGUUCUACAGGGGCAUUUAGAGCAGAACAGGUCUUAUACCGGGGCAUUUAGGGCAGAACAGGUGUUAUACAGGGGCAUUUAGAGCAGAACAGGUCUUAUACCGGGGCAUUUAGGGCAGAACAGGUCUUAUACCGGGGCAUUUAGAGCAGAACAGGUCUUAUACCGGGGCAUUUAGGGCAGAACAGGUCUUAUACCGGGGC